RNAcentral lists this ribosomal RNA (253 nucleotides) under uncultured bacterium. RNAcentral's name for it is "partial 16S ribosomal RNA". It matches the Rfam family "Bacterial small subunit ribosomal RNA", at positions 524 to 776 of the family's 1533-position model. The record is from RNAcentral.
UACGUAGGUGACCAGCGUUGUCCGGAUUUACUGGGCGUAGAGGGCGCGUAGGCGGCUUGGCAAGUGGAAGGUGAAAUCCCUCGGCUUAACCGAGGAACUGCCCUCCAGACUGCUUUGCUUGAGGCCGGGAGAGGUGAGUGGAAUUCCCAGUGUAGCGGUGAAAUGCGUAGAUAUUGGGAGGAACACCAGUGGCGAAGGCGGCUCACUGGACCGGUUCUGACGCUGAGGCGCGAAAGCGUGGGGAGCAAACGGG